GGGAUUUGUAGUUCAAUUGCAGAACAUCAGCUUCCCAAGCUGAGAAUGCGGGUUCGGUUCCCGUCACCCG
Molecule: transfer RNA, 70 nt
Filed under: Actinomycetota bacterium
Lineage: Bacteria; Bacillati; Actinomycetota
Description: Actinobacteria bacterium (freshwater metagenome) tRNA-Gly
Rfam family: tRNA (bases 7-66)
About the family: Transfer RNA (tRNA) molecules are approximately 80 nucleotides in length. Their secondary structure includes four short double-helical elements and three loops (D, anti-codon, and T loops).
Source: RNAcentral